CCUACGGGAGGCAGCAGUGGGGAAUCUUGCGCAAUGGGCGAAAGCCUGACGCAGCAACGCCGCGUGCGGGAAGAAGGCUUUCGGGCUGUAAACCGCUUUCAGCAGGAACGAAAAUGACGGUACCUGCAGAAGAAGGAGCGGCCAACUAUGUGCCAGCAGCCGCGGUGAUACAUAGGCUUCAAGCGUUGUCCGGAUUUAUUGGGCGUAAAGAGUUCGUAGGCGGUCGAGUAAGUCGGGUGUGAAAAUUCUGGGCUCAACCCAGAGACGCCACCCGAUACUGCUUGACUUGAGUUCGAUAGGGGAGUGGGGAAUUCCUAGUGUAGCGGUGAAAUGCGCAGAUAUUAGGAGGAACACCGGUGGCGAAGGCGCCACUCUGGAUCGAUACUGACGCUGAGGAACGAAAGCAUGGGUAGCAAACAGGAUUAGAUACCCUGGUAGUCCAUGCCGUAAACGGUGGGCACUAGGUGUGGGUUUCUAUUAACGAAAUCCGCGCCGUCGCUAACGCAUUAAGUGCCCCGCCUGGGGAAUCGGUCGCAAGCUAAAACUCAAAGGAAUUGACCGGNGNGAGAGNGCGAGCGACACGAGGAGAG
RNAcentral lists this ribosomal RNA (590 nucleotides) under uncultured bacterium. RNAcentral describes it as "bacterial SSU rRNA". It matches the Rfam family "Bacterial small subunit ribosomal RNA", at positions 338 to 943 of the family's 1533-position model. The record is from RNAcentral.